RNAcentral lists this ribosomal RNA (1612 nucleotides) under bioreactor metagenome. Its description in RNAcentral is "bacterial LSU rRNA". It matches the Rfam family "Bacterial large subunit ribosomal RNA", at positions 1300 to 2925 of the family's 2925-position model. The record is from RNAcentral.
GAAUGAGUAGCGAGAUAGAAGUGAGAAUCUUCUAGGCCGAAUAUCCAAGGUUUCCGGGGUAAAGCUGAUCUGCCCCGGGUAAGUCGGGACCUAAGGCGAGGCCGAAAGGCGUAGUCGAUGGACAACAGGUUGAGAUUCCUGUACUCCGUACAAACAGAACUGUGGGGACACGGAAGGGUAGGAAGAGCCGGGAGUGGAAAAACCGGUUCAAGCGCAAAGGAUAUCCCGGGAGGAAAAGCCCUCGGGAGUUUCUGAAGCGUGAUGAGGAGCGAAGAAAAAGUAGCGAAGCUUCCGAACCCAAGCCGUCAAGAAAAGCCGCUAUAGCUUUGUACGGACCCGUACCGUAAACCGACACAGGUGGAUGAGGAGAGAAUCCUAAGGCCGACGGGAGAAGCAUUGUUAAGGAACUCGGCAAAAUGGCCCCGUAACUUCGGGAGAAGGGGCGCCUGAGAGAUCAGGCCGCAGAGAAAUGGCCCAAGCAACUGUUUAGCAAAAACACAGGUCUAUGCGAAACCGGAAGGUGAAGUAUAUGGGCUGACGCCUGCCCGGUGCUGGAAGGUUAAGGGGAGAGGUUAGCCGAAAGGCGAAGCUUUGAACUUAAGCCCCAGUAAACGGCGGCCGUAACUAUAACGGUCCUAAGGUAGCGAAAUUCCUUGUCGGGUAAGUUCCGACCCGCACGAAAGGCGUAACGAUUUGGGCGCUGUCUCGACGGUGGACUCGGUGAAAUCAUAGUACCUGUGAAGAUGCAGGUUACCCGCGACAGGACGGAAAGACCCCGUGGAGCUUUACUGCAGCUUGAUAUUGGACUUUGGUGCAGCAUGUACAGGAUAGGUAGGAGACUAAGAAUCUGGGACGCCAGUUUCAGAGGAGUCGACGUUGGGAUACUACCCUUGUUGUACUGAGGUUCUAACUAGCGUUUAAGAAACGAGACGUAGGACAGUGUCAGGUGGGCAGUUUGACUGGGGCGGUCGCCUCCUAAAGAGUAACGGAGGCGCUCAAAGGUUGGCUCAGCACGGACGGAAAUCGUGCAAAGAGUGCAAACGCAGAAGCCAGCCUGACUGUGAGACCUACAAGUCGAGCAGAAACGAAAGUUGGAGUUAGUGAUCAGGCGGUAAUGAGUGGAAAUGCCGUCGCUUAACGGAUAAAAGCUACCCUGGGGAUAACAGGCUGAUCUCCCCCAAGAGUCCACAUCGACGGGGAGGUUUGGCACCUCGAUGUCGGCUCAUCGCAUCCUGGGGCUGAAGUAGGUCCCAAGGGUUGGGCUGUUCGCCCAUUAAAGCGGUACGCGAGCUGGGUUCAGAACGUCGUGAGACAGUUCGGUCCCUAUCCGGCGCGGGCGCAGGAUAUUUGAGAGGAUCUGACCUUAGUACGAGAGGACCGGGUUGGACGAACCUCUGGUGUAUCGGUUGUACUACCAAGUGCACGGCCGAGUAGCCAAGUUCGGAAGGGAUAAACGCUGAAGGCAUCUAAGCGUGAAGCCCCCCUCAAGAUGAGAUAUCCCAUGGAGUCAAUCCAGUAAGACCCCUUGAAGACUACAAGGUAGAUAGGACAGAGGUGGAAGUGCAGUAAUGCAUUGAGCUGACUGUUACUAAUAGGUCGAGGGCUUGACCUG